GGGGAGACCCUACCUGCCCAGAGGCCUCUGAGUCUCUGACCCACAGCACCCCACAGGCCUGGCAUGCUUUCUCCAGGGCUGGACCCUUUCCCCGGACUGCCCUGAGGAAGGCAAAAGUGUGGACCCCUGUGUGGGGGUCAGUGGGCUGGGAUAGUGGUUAGAGAUUAAAAACUCUUUACGGUUGAUGAGAAAGAACCUUCAGGAAACUCUUUCACACUGGACUCUGCAGCUAGCAGAACUGGGGCAAAGGUGGAAACCCCAGUAGGGGAAAGAGCCAGCAGGCUGUGCAGCUGCCUCAGCGAGGAUUCACCACCUCAGGGACUUGUUCUCUUUCCUCUGCACACCUAAGAAGCAGUUUUCUGUUCCUUUCCUCCCACCUUUUACUUUUUGCUGCCUCCUCCAUUUCCUCCCAUUCUCUCCCUAAAAACCUGCUGUUUCGCUCAGCCAAACCUUCUCAGCAGAAAGGUGGCCUUGGGCAAAACUGAUUCAAGGAGUCCAGGUGGCAGCACUGAGGAGUUGCUGCUUAUUGCCUCUGCUUUCCCUCUCCUAGCACAGGGGCACCCUGGCCCAUUCAGGGGGCUCCCGUGCCCACACUUGUCACCUACAUGCCUUAAUCUUUUGUUGCUUGGGGGGUGGCCUGGGGUGUUCCUGGGCCAGCUCCUCCGCGUAUCUCCCUUAACUCAGAGUUAACUCAGCCACUGGCCCUGGCCGACUUGACUUGCUGAUGCCUCACUUGGUGUCCAGAAAAGACUGAAGGAAGAGGUGCGAGGCUCAAGUUAGGGACAUUUAGCCUUUCCUCUUUUUUUUUGAAAGCCAAAGACCCAGCUUGAAUUCUGCUGCUGCAUUUGUGGUUAUAACAUUGUUUCCUAGGUACUGGGCAUGUGCCUGUCUGAGCCCCAGGCCUGUCUGUCUACAGCCCACCAUUCACUCUGUCUCUCCCUGGGCACCUGCUGACGGGAUCUCCAGACGGUGCCCUAUUGGCUUCUAGGAUUAGGCCCAUCGCUAUUCUCUCCUGAAAUGAAAUGCAGUUUAAGAAUGGCUGAAGGUUGCAGGGGGCAGGUAGCUUAAUGGAUGAUCUUUUUUUGUUUGUUUUCUUAUUUGUUUCUGUUUUAGAAAUGGAGGUUUUAAAUGAUCAUUUAAACUCUUUUCCAAAUAAAUGUUUACCUUCCCCCCCCUGCUGUUGGUCAUUUUAUAAGGACUCCGAAGGACAUGGCGGAAAAUGAGGUAGAGAGAGGGAGAGAGGGAUCCUGGGAUGGGGUGUCAAGCCCUAAACCCAGACGAGAAAAAGGCGCUGGAGUCUCCCUGUGAUCCCUGAGGCAGACUCCCACUGCUCUGAGGCCUGGGCAGGGCUGCAGGGCUGGAGCGAAGCCUCCUGCCCGGACUUUGUGGCGGUGCAGCUCUCUCUCCAUCCUGUCACGCUAGAGGAUAGCUCUUUCAGCUGCUUUCAUUCUCGUUCCGUCUGCUGCCGCCGCCGUACCUUUCCUCCUCCGCCCCUACCCCACCCCCUGCCCCAUCCACACUGCAUUUCAGGAGCGUCUGUGUGGAAAGUGGGAUGAGAAGUGUUUUCCUGGUCAGAGAAAGCUAUGGCAGCCGCAUGAGGCAUGGUACGUGUGGCAGAUGUCUCUUGCUGAGCGUCUAUUUUUGAUCGUCUCUUUUGCAUUCUGAAGCCAGGGCUGAGCUGUGCGCCAUCUGUUGCUGGAAAGGUUUCUCUUCCUUCCCUGGGCCUCGCUCUGCUGGCUCUUUUGUCGUCCUCCAGCUUCCUUAAGCGUCAAGUCCACCCAGCCCCGAUGCCCAUCCGUGGGAAGCUCUGAAAACGGGUGGUUUUCUGCCUUACCUGAACAGACCCCAGACCCCACACCUCGGAGUCAGUGUCUGAGAAUCUGAGUGAUUUAAGCUUCUGUUGAAGCACCUGGGUUGGGAUUCAGUGGAAAGAAGAGGCCUGGUAUCAGGAACACCGUUUGUCACCUUGGCCGGCCACUUGGUGACUGGCUGGAUUUGAAUGAGCCUGUCUGUCAGUAACAACACUGCCUCUCUUUAAUGGUGUGCAGUCCAAGACGUCUGUGGAUUCCGAUGGACUGCCUCCCUUCUCAGUUGCCAUGCGUCACCACCACGUUACUGAAAAUGAGGAAGUUUCGCUGUGUGCUAAACUGCACUUCUAGUUAGGACUUUGUGGGCUUGGCUGGGAUAAGAGGUAGGAAAUAUUCAACUUCCUCUGGUCAGUCUAGGUUUUACUCUCUGACUGAAUGAAAGGCGAGCAGGCAAGUGGGGAGGAAGGGUUAAAGGUGAAAAAUGCUGCCGUGGCUAAAAGCUGUCUCUGUGCAAGCUGCUUGCGACUGUGUGGGCUCGUCUUAAACAAGGGAAGAGGUCCGAGCUGGAGCAAUGAUGCAGAGGAAGAGGUCACAGAUGGAACCAGACGUGUUUUCCAAAGCUGUGGCUUUAACCACCAUAGUUUCUGCACUGGCGACUGUGAUGAGAAGGGACUUCAGAUGGCUGUUGCUAUGGUUUCCUGAAAUAAUCUCAUCUCCCAGGAGAACAUUCACCCUUCCCCCUGUUCCCACUGGGGACUAGGACAGGAAGAGCAGGGCUCUGGAAUGCAUCCUGGGAGCAUCCUCUGGCCUCUGGGGACCAACCAAGCUGGCUGUGUGAGGGAGAAGGGGUUCAUUCACGGCCAGCGGGAAAGAUCUCCCAGAUGAGGAUUAUAAUAACAAGAGCUGUGUGGCUCCAGCACUCUGAGGGGCGACCGUCUGGGAGCCCAGAACUUUCAUCCCACUGCAGGGGCUGCGAGGUUUCCUGUUGGCUGGUGUGGGGCCCUCCUCACCCCUUCUCCAGUUCUCCCCACCGAAGCUGACAGUGUCCGCCGGGGAGGGCUCCCGCCCCAGCUCCCAGAGGAAAGGAGAGGAGGUUUGCACGCUGUGGCUUCUGCCCAGCACAUACAACUGGAGCUGGAGAGACUUUAUUCAUUUCAGGGAACAAGUGAGAACAGGAAUGAGACGGAGUGUAAAAGUGAAAGAGGAGGCGCAAUACUGGCAUGAGAAGAAGAGGAAGGACAAAGUCUAGCACUACACUCAGCCCAGCACAAACUCCAGGGAUCAGGCAGUCCGCCAUCACCAGGCCUGGGGCCAAGCACACCCAGUUUCUCCCCUGGUCAGAAACUUAGGACUCGGGGGCACCAACGUGGGCCCAGAGGGCAAUACUGAUGGACCUGCAGCUAGCACCACGGCAGCCCUGCCUGGCCCCGGGCAGACCUCCCUGCUCCCACCCUGCUACUCCGGAGGGCCUCCCGGCCCCUCACAUGGGUGUCUCCCCGAGAACAAGGGAAGUGGGGAUGUCAACACAGUGGCGCUCGGACAACGCUGUCAGUUUGCAGGCCCAGCUGGAACUCCCUGCGCUCAGAGGCCAGAACAUGGGUCUACGGAUGCUGCUGCCGCUAAGCCAGAAAACCACGCAGGCAGGAGACCCAGGUGCACACAGGCCUCUGGGCAGGCUGCUGGCCGGAACUGGACCUGUCUCAGAGCCAGGAGGUCAAGUCCCAGCCGGAAGAGGUGGGGCAUGAGAUGACAAGGCCCGAAAGCAGACAUGGCCCCCUCCGGGCGCUCUGCUCCCCAGGACCCUGGCCUUAGGCUUCAUCGAACCUGGGCCUGGGGCUGGGGCUACUGCUCUCCCCACUUUGCCAGGCCCAGAAAGGAUGGCGUGGCUGGUGUGAUGGGUGAGGGUGACUGUGUGUGGAGGCCACAGGAAGGAGGACUGGCAGGUGGGUGACAGGCUCUCUGAACCCAGUUUCCCAGCAUUCUGACCUGGCACCAAGCCCAAGGAGCCAGGCUUUGGGAAGUAGUCACUCCCCACCCUGACCCACCUUGACCCUUCCUCAGCCAGCAGCCCCCUCCCCGGGGGGCAGAGGAGGCCACAGGGAACGCUGGAAGGCAGUCCCGCAUCAGGAGGAGACAGGCCCCUUCCCUCCCAGGAAGAGAGAUGAGGUGAUAAGGAGGAUGGUGACUAAGGCCCCGAAGUCCCUGCCUCUCUGCCUGCCCAGAAACGCUGCAGCCAGGCCAGCCCCAGGGAGGGGAGCCUGUGUAAACAUGCCCAGGAGGGGAGGAGGGGUUGCUACAUAUGAGAAACAGUUAAAAACAAAAAGCACCGCUGUAACCUGUGGUGGUCUCCACAGGCCCAAGGUCUCAGCCACGAAGGGGAGUGCUUGGGGGUUAUCAGUUUGGGGUGACCAGCCCGUGCCCUCAGACAGCAAUAGAGGUUAGGGCUUCAUUUGACUCCUUCUCCCCAGAUACUUGGGGAGGGAACCUGUAGGCUGGCACAUCCUUCUAGGCUGCUGACCACCGGCAGCUUCCCCGUGUUACCCUGACCCGCGCUCCCAGCUCCCACUUACGUCUCUUCCUUCGCGCCCUGUAUUCCGCAGGGGUGUCUGGGGCUGCUUCCCUGCUAAUGAGUGGCCUGCAUGAGGCACCCACAUCCAGACCCACAAAAGGCCUCGUUUGCAGCCUCAUGUCUCCCCAAAAUGAGCCAUCACUGCCUCAGGGAAACGGGGGAACAUGGGGACCACCCCCUACUCACUGAAAACGGAUGGGAUGGGAUGGUGAGUCAGGCGUCACAAUGGCCCUCGGAUUGGUCUGGCUGGGGUGCAGUCCAGGGGGCAGGUUAAGUACCUCCCCAGGGCCCAGCGACUCAUGAAGAACCCCAGGGACAGACCAGCUGGCCUCCCUUCUGGGCCUGGCUCUGGGCCAAGGGCUGCUGGUGUGAAGAGCUGCCAGCCCCUGGUGGCUUCCCUGAUGGGCGCUUGAUUAGCAAAGACAUCCUGUCUCCCUCCCUUUUUCUUUGCUUCCCAGGCACCAUCCAUCUCCCUGGCAGGCUGAGAACUGCACUCUCCACUCCACCACCUCUGGUGACAUGGCAACCACAGGGGUCCCUGGUGUGUUUCUGGUCUGCAGGGGAAGUGAGGAGGAUGAACACGGGGCCGCUGCCCAUUCUGGGAGCCUCAGCAGGGAAGC
Hipposideros armiger (great roundleaf bat) is the source of this 4997-nucleotide long non-coding RNA. RefSeq lists it as uncharacterized. The transcript is spliced from 2 exons. NCBI's taxonomy places the organism in Eukaryota, Metazoa, Chordata, Mammalia, Chiroptera, Hipposideridae. The record is from RefSeq and is a predicted model, not a curated record.